Molecule: transfer RNA, 70 nt
Filed under: Ictidomys tridecemlineatus (thirteen-lined ground squirrel)
Lineage: Eukaryota; Metazoa; Chordata; Mammalia; Rodentia; Sciuridae
Description: Spermophilus tridecemlineatus (thirteen-lined ground squirrel) tRNA
Rfam family: tRNA
About the family: Transfer RNA (tRNA) molecules are approximately 80 nucleotides in length. Their secondary structure includes four short double-helical elements and three loops (D, anti-codon, and T loops).
Source: Rfam by way of RNAcentral
UGGGUUGUGGCUCAGUGGUAAAGCACUCACCUUGCACGUGUGAGAGCCUGGGUUCAAUCCUCAGCACCAU